Molecule: ribosomal RNA, 235 nt
Filed under: uncultured Gardnerella sp.
Lineage: Bacteria; Bacillati; Actinomycetota; Actinomycetes; Bifidobacteriales; Bifidobacteriaceae
Description: partial 16S ribosomal RNA
Rfam family: Bacterial small subunit ribosomal RNA
Source: RNAcentral
CCAACCUCGCCCCAUGCUCCAGAAUAGCUCUUGGAAACGGGUGGUAAUGCUGGAUGCUCCAACUUGACGCAUGUCUUGUUGGGAAAGUGUUUAGUGGCAUGGGAUGGGGUCGCGUCCUAUCAGCUUGUAGGCGGGGUAAUGGCCCACCUAGGCUUCGACGGGUAGCCGGCCUGAGAGGGCGGACGGCCACAUUGGGACUGAGAUACGGCCCAGACUCCUACGGGAGGCAGCAGCG